Molecule: transfer RNA, 90 nt
Filed under: Streptomyces cinerochromogenes
Lineage: Bacteria; Bacillati; Actinomycetota; Actinomycetes; Kitasatosporales; Streptomycetaceae
Description: tRNA-Gln
Source: RNAcentral
GCGCCCCGGGGACGGGGCUCCGGUGCCUCUGGUGCUCUGGUGCUCUGGGGCGCGGGCCGGCCACCGGGGUUCUGAUCCCCCGGAGGCGCG